GAUGAAGAACGCAGCGAAAUGCGAUAAGUAAUGUGAAUUGCAGAAUUCAGUGAAUCAUCGAAUCUUUGAACGUACAUUGCGCCCGCCAGCAUUCUGGCGGGCAUGCCUGUUCGAGCGUCAUUUCAACCCUCGAGCCCCCCCGGGGGCCUCGGUGUUGGGGGACGGCACACCAGCCGCCCCCGAAAUGCAGUGGCGACCCCGCCGCAGCCUCCCCUGCGUAGUAGCACACACCUCGCACCGGAGCGCGGAGGCGGUCACGCCGUAAAACGCCCAACUUUCUUAGAGUUGACCUCGGAUCAGGUAGGAAUACCCGCUGAACUUAAGCAUAUCAAUAAGCGGAGGA
RNAcentral lists this unclassified non-coding RNA (343 nucleotides) under soil metagenome. RNAcentral describes it as "partial contains 5.8S ribosomal RNA, internal transcribed spacer 2, and large subunit ribosomal RNA". The stretch from base 1 to 120 matches the Rfam family "5.8S ribosomal RNA", at positions 35 to 154 of the family's 154-position model. The record is from RNAcentral.